Molecule: ribosomal RNA, 492 nt
Filed under: uncultured bacterium
Lineage: Bacteria
Description: partial 16S ribosomal RNA
Rfam family: Bacterial small subunit ribosomal RNA
Source: RNAcentral
AGUGAACGCUGGCGGUAGGCCUAACACAUGCAAGUCGAACGGCAGCACAGUAAGAGCUUGCUCUUACGGGUGGCGAGUGGCGGACGGGUGAGGAAUACAUCGGAAUCUACUUUUUCGUGGGGGAUAACGUAGGGAAACUUACGCUAAUACCGCAUACGACCUACGGGUGAAAGCAGGGGAUCUUCGGACCUUGCGCGAUUGAAUGAGCCGAUGUCGGAUUAGCUAGUUGGCGGGGUAAAGGCCCACCAAGGCGACGAUCCGUAGCUGGUCUGAGAGGAUGAUCAGCCACACUGGAACUGAGACACGGUCCAGACUCCUACGGGAGGCAGCAGUGGGGAAUAUUGGACAAUGGGCGCAAGCCUGAUCCAGCCAUACCGCGUGGGUGAAGAAGACCUUCGGGUUGUAAAGCCCUUUUGUUGGGUAAGAAAAGCAGCAGGUUAAUACCCCGCUGUUCUGACGGUACCCAAAGAAUAAGCACCGGCUAACUUCGUG